AAAACUUUCAACAAUGGAUCUCUUGGUUCCGGCAUCGAUGAAGAACGCAGCGAAAUGCGAUAAGUAAUGUGAAUUGCAGAAUUCCGUGAAUCAUCGAAUCUUUGAACGCACAUUGCGCCCCCUGGCAUUCCGGGGGGCAUGCCUGUCCGAGCGUCAUUUCUGCCCUCAAGCACGGCUUGUGUGUUGGGUGCGGUCCCCCCGGGGACCUGCCCGAAAGGCAGCGGCGACGUCCGUCUGGUCCCUCGAGCGUAUGGGGCUUUGUCACUCGCUCGGGAAGGACCUGCGGGGGUUGGUCACCACCACAUUUUACCACGGUUGACCUCGGAUCAGGUAGGAGUUACCCGCUGAACUUAAGCAUAUCAAUAAGCGGAGGAAAAGAAACCAACCGGGAUUGCCUCAGUAACGGCGAGUGAAGCGGCAAGAGCUCAAAUUUGAAAUCUGGCCCCUUUGGGGUCCGAGUUGUAAUUUGCAGAGGAUGCUUCGGGUGCGGUCCCCGUCUAAGUGCCCUGGAACGGGCCGUCAUAGAGGGUGAGAAUCCCGUCUGGGAUGGGCGGCCGCGCCCGUGUGAAGCUCCUUCGACGAGUCGAGUUGUUUGGGAAUGCAGCUCUAAGCGGGUGGUAAAUUUCAUCUAAAGCUAAAUACUGGCCGGAGACCGAUAGCGCACAAGUAGAGUGAUCGAAAGAUGAAAAGCACUUUGAAAAGAGAGUUAAACAGCACGUGAAAUUGUUGAAAGGGAAGCGUUGUCCACCAGACUCGCCCGGGGGGGUUCAGCCGGCACGUGUGCCGGUGUACUCCUCUCCGGGCGGGCCAGCAUCGGUUUGGGCGGCUGGUGAAAGGCCCCGGGAAUGUACCACCCUCCGGGGUGCCUUAUAGCCCGGGGUGCCAUGCAGCCAGCCUGGACCGAGGCCCGCGCUUCGGCGAGGAUGCUGGCGUAAUGGUGGUCAACGGCCCGUCUUGAAACACGGACCAAGGAGUCUAACAUCUAUGCGAGUGUUCGGGUGUCAAACCCGUCCGCGCAGUGAAAGCGAACGGAGGUGGGAGCCCCUCGGGGCGCACCAUCGACCGAUCCUGAUGUCUUCGGAUGGAUUUGAGUAAGAGCAUAGCUGUUGGGACCCGAAAGAUGGUGAACUAUGCCUGAAUAGGGCGAAGCCAGAGGAAACUCUGGUGGAGGCUCGCAGCGGUUCUGACGUGCAAAUCGAUCGUC
This 1204-nucleotide ribosomal RNA is filed under the name Talaromyces sp. INBio_4039G. RNAcentral describes it as "eukaryotic LSU rRNA". The stretch from base 317 to 1204 matches the Rfam family "Eukaryotic large subunit ribosomal RNA", at positions 1 to 906 of the family's 3401-position model. The record is from RNAcentral. Lineage: Eukaryota; Fungi; Ascomycota; Eurotiomycetes; Eurotiales; Trichocomaceae.